This 5438-nucleotide long non-coding RNA is filed under the name Taeniopygia guttata (zebra finch). RNAcentral's name for it is "lncRNA (ENSTGUG00000027618.1)". The record is from RNAcentral. Lineage: Eukaryota; Metazoa; Chordata; Aves; Passeriformes; Estrildidae.
UUUUUUUUUUUUUUGGGGGGGGGGUUGUGUGUGUUUGGUUGGUUGGUUGAUUUUUGGUUUUAUUUGGUCCAAUUAGUAUAUUUUUACUACCACCACUAGGUAUUUAAGUUGGGAUUCUUUGUCUGUAUUCACUGCUGACACAAUUCCUGUGGACUCAUUUCCAUCUCUGCAAAAUUCAUGUAAAGAGGGCAUAAAAGGCUGUCAAAUUAGAAUUAUGGCAUUCACAUUGAUUUUUCCACAUAGUUAGAAGUGACUGUCUAAGCCGCAGACAGUGAAUAAUCAAAUCCUAGGAUUCUCAAGUCAGUGUGUUCAGUGUGACCCAUGACUGCGCUGUGCUUCAUAGUGCCUCCACUGUUUUUUGGCAUUACAGUAAUGUCUGCAGAACUCCUAAUGCCCUAAUCCCACAGUAUUCUCCUGGGCUGAUUUAACCCCCAUUGACUAGAGGAGACGAGCAUCAAUACUGAUCUGCAGAGAAAUUUAUCACAAGUUCAUCAGAUGUUACCAAUUCAGACUGUGUACUGUGUGUGUAUGUGAUUUAAGUUUAAACCCUACUUGCUUCACUAGGAAGGUUAGUAUUUAGAAUAAUUGUAGUAUUUGAGUUUUAUCCAAUGCUAUUAAAAAGCCUGAAUUUAAAACCAGCAGGUUUUUAGAGAUAAAACAAUGUUAAUAGCAGAGGUUUGCUGAGAUCAGAAGUGAAUUCUCUGACUGCACCUAACUGGGCACAGUGUCUGGCUUCAGAGAGCUGAGCGAAAUGGAGGUCAUGAGGCAUGAGACUGAUGAAAAAUAGUGGCUUAGUUCUGUGGGACAAAAUGAUUUCAGAACAACUAAAAUUCUAUUUUAACAUCUUUCAUUCUCUUAUCAAAGGACUGAGAGUGAGCGUACUUUAGAUGAUUCAUGGUGGGGUGUAACAAUUUUUAUUCCCUGAUAAUUCAUACAUCUGUAAAUUAGUUUCAGUCUAGGAUUUACUCUCAGAAGAGCUAAAUAUUCCCUGAGUUGGGAACUUUCAUCCUGGGUAGGAGAUACUUCCUGAUUAGCAUAUCUGGCACUUCGGAAAUCAAACUUCCCAGUCAUGGCUUGCCAAUAUUUGCUGAGAAAGUAAAGGGCAGCAUCCCUUUGGGGACAGACUUGCCUUUCCACAGUGUACAGUAUGUUUGUGUGGUAUAUCUAUGCUCCUAAAUGCUAUCCUGUAGUGGACCAUCCUACAGAAUGUGUUCUUUCAUGAAGCGCCAGUCUGUGGUGUGAUCUGUCACCUGUGUCACUAAUGGCAGCAGUGGUCUCAUCAAGCAAAGCUAGUUGGGCAUUGUAAAGGAGAACCUGAACAUGUCUGGGAAUUUACAGAGAGCCAUUGGAGCAGUUAAUGCCCGUGUGUGAGGUGGGCAGGCCACGGAAGCGUGCGAUGUUGGGAUGCAAAGGGUUACUGAUGGUGCUGUUGCUAUGCUGUGCUCAUGCUGAUGUGUAACGUGGAUGCAACCUGUCAUUCUGACAGGUCAGGAGACUUCAACAGCAGGGACACAGUCUGGACCUUGGCUGGGAUAUUCACUGGCAUUUAUUCUUUCUUGAUUAUUUUUUUCAUUUUCCAAUAGCUCCACUGAAGUAACAUAUACUCCUAUGGAACGGGAGUUUACCAAGAGUAACAUUAUUAAAACAAUAAAAGGAAGCAGCAGUUACAACUUCACCAAUGUCUAUUUCAUUCCCAGUAUGAGACAUUUCUUUUGAAGAAAUUCUUUCAGUCUUUUACAUUAUAUUUUACCUAGACUAUUUCCGAAGAGUUUUAUUUUCUCAUAAAAUAACCAUUUCACUUCUCCAUUGCUCAAUUACAUGGUGUUAUUAUAAAACAUAAGCUUUUGGAUUUUCUUUUGUAAAUCCUUUUCAUCUGAGUAGACCUACAUUUGUAGAUGGUAGGUUACCCUACCUCCCUCUUAGUACAAGGGAUUAGAAAUGUUUGCCUCUAUGUUAGUAAUAUCACUAGCAUUCCCACAAAACUUGGAAAUUUGUUUUGGGCAGGUUUGACUACAUGAGUGAGUUGGUGUUUAAAAUAUUUAGAAAACAGUUACUUCAUCUUAGCCAGGUUCACUAAUAUAAUUUCAUACUUUUCCUGAAAUACCUGCACAAAAGCUUUCAUCUCUAGCUUUCCAAUGAAUACUUAAAGAUAAUCAUAUUCUUUAUGGCAAGGAAUUGAUCCUGAAAUACUGAAAAGCAGCAAAUAAGUAUUGAUCUUCUCCACUGAAACAGAGUGAAAUUACAGUUAUUAAAGACUUCUGGGUUUAUUUAUGCACUUUCUAUUCUACUUAAUACAAACACCAGAUUAUGUCAGGAGUUACACACUGAAAUAAUUAAAUUGCUGUUAUCCUACCAAUUAUAAACCUCUUGGGCUUUGAAACUGUAAAACUACAACUAAAAAAGAUAAAUAUAGUAUUGACGAAAAUUGACAAGUUUCAUCUGACAAGAAAUCAAAGAAAUAAUAAAAAAGCUAUGGAUAGAAAAAUAACCCAGAACAGCUUUCAUCUUCCAUCUUUGAUGCAAAGUGGCAUCCUGAAAUGACUAUAGAAUCUAGAAGCAGAUAAAUAACAGCAGAGGAAGAGGCACAGGCACAGAACACAGGAAAAAAAUUUGGUUGUGCCAAUGUGCUCACAAAGCCACAAGAAGAGAGACUCAAGAAAACCAAGCACAGCACUACUGGAUUUCUCUUACAUAGUUAAAUCGAUCCAUGGUCCUCAGAUUAUUUUUCAGAAUAUGAGGCAGCUCUACCACAUUCUACUAACCAGAGCACCUGCAUUUUGCAUAGAUAGCAUUUUGAGUUGUAUUAAAUGAAUUUCUUAGAGUGUGGAGUAUUGUUCUUCAUUCUGCUUAACAUUCUGUAGCCAUUAAGAAAGAUGAUUUGACUAUUAAAAUUAUUUAGCCAUAAUGAACAAAACAGGGCUAUUCUACAGGUAAUACAGGAAAGCUUUAGAAGUUUCCAGUUUCUCUAUCCAUGUAGAAUAUUACCAAGACUUUUUAAACUCCAGCACCAGUAAUUGCCUGUGCCCUUUUCAAAUAAAACUGCUUUUGAUUUCAGCAUUUACUGUGUCUUUCUCCCAUAGCUGUGCACCAUGCUAAUGCUGUUGCUUUAUCAGCUUCUCUCCAGCCUGUUCACCUCACCAGAGAAGCAUUGUUCUUUGCAGAAUAUCCCCUGAUGCUUUGCCAAAGCCUAAAUUUGAACAGCUUGAGUGAAGAGAUUUCUAAUGCUUCCCCGAAGAGGUUGAUAACACUGUAAUUAGUCUUUCUGUUUAGCAAAUAAUUCUAGCUUUUCCCCUUUCUUUGUUUCAUAGAUACUUUCUUUCCUAUAUUCACAAGCAAUACUUUUAUUUUUUAAAAUAUUUUACAUUCAGUAUUUUCAGGCAGAUUUCCUACUUCUGCUUCCUCAGUUUGUACUUAUUUUAUGCACACUUAAUUCCUUUAACCUUUUCCUCAUGAGCUUCCUUAGCUUUUGGUAUGCCUUUAGAGUUGCUAAAAACAUUAGCUUUUCAGACAGGGUGCACGUGCAAUGCUGAUCAUGGUGACUUUAUUAAGAUUACAUAAAGGGCAUUACACUGAGGACAUAUUUUGCUAAAUAAUUAAAUGUUACUGGAAAAGCAGCUCCUUUCAAGAAAAUCAUCUGCAACAUCACCAGGAAAUUCUUUGUAUCCUUAGAAUUCUCCAAGGAUACUUACAAGAGGAAAAUUGCAUUGAAUUAGGGAUUAAAAGUCCAGUAGUGUCCUCAUGAAAUUAGAAGAAAACAAAAGAAAGAAGCAGUAAUACUACAUUUUUGACACUUACAGUAUUUAUGUAGACAUUUCUUGAAGUAUGCAAGCGUUGAGUUACAAGGAUGGUAGAAUAAAGCACAGUUUUUGAUUUAAAAGUUAAUGUAUGAGACUGGGGAAAAAAACCCAUUUAAGCCACUUUAGGAGACAUAUUAUUACAUGACUUUAAAUGGUUUUUGUUAUAGAAAUUUUUCAUUUGAAAUACUACUUUAGUAGUUCAAAUGUCUACUGGAGAAUCAUUGUGCCUAUUUCAAGAUCUAAUUAAUUUUCAGUCAAUUUUCUGAAAAUACUGAACAGAAUUAUUUUAAUCUUGUGGAAAUCUCAGUACAGCCUUAACCAUAAAGUUAUUUCUUACAUUUUCAUCCUUAGAAAAACCCAAAGUUAUCAUAGGUUUAAUUAGAUAGGUGAAGUAUUUAGAUUUAUUUUUCCCUUGGAGCAGUUGUGCACGUGCCUGCCUGGAUGUUUGAGUUCCUAAAUAACAAAGGUGUUGUCAGAGCUUUGCUCUGUUACACAUGUACAAGAUAUUCUAACUUAUCAGUCACCAGUACCCAAAGAUUAAAAGCACCCAAAACAAAAGAAGACAGACUUCAUCUUCCAGACUGACAGUUUUAAUCUCCAGACAGAUCCAAAGUCACACUUCUCAAACCAACAUCUGCUCCUGGCUAAUGAUUGUCCAUGACUUGCGAUAAAAACAGUCCUUAGUCCAUCUUAGCUGGACUCAAAAUUAUAUUUUGUGUCUUAAGAAUAAAUUCCAGCCACUUAAAAAAAAACGUGGCUGCAGAUGAUGGCAUUGAACAACAGUGUCCAAAAGCCAUUUAUUUGUGAGUCUGUGCUUCAAGAUUCCAAGUUUUAGGAGAUGGGUGGAAGUGCUGCAAGGGAGCCUGUUUUUCCUGAGAAGGGUGAGGGCGAAAUAAGAUCAUUCUACCAUGCCACAAAGACAGAGAAAGAUGCAGACAGAGCAUGCUUUUGCAGAGUACCAUUCGCCUUGCCCUGCGUGCGGCCCUGGGACCGAACUGCGCAGCUGUUACAGGAGGAGCUGAGGCUCAAGGAGUCAGUGAGUGCUGCUGCUUUCAGGCUCAGCAGAGGCAUCAGCAAGUGGAGAGGAACCUCAUCAGCUCCUGUCUAUGCACUACAGAUGUUUUGCUUUGCAACAUGUUGUUCCUCCUCUCUCCACUCUCAAUGGAUAAGGAAUUAACAUCACCAUCCUCAUCAGAGUCAUAGAUCAAUUUCCAAUCUUGUCCCUCUGACAAUUUCCAUGCUUUAAGAAGCUCUGCUUCUCUUUUGCUGCAUAAGAAUUACACUCACACCUACUUCUCCUCCUUGCCAUCUUCCUUUUUCCCUCUCUUCCUGGCCCAGCAUAUUAAAUAACCUUCUUAUUCUGUGAUAGGAAGACACCUGGCCAAGUUGCUUCACUUUUGGCCACAUGUGACUCUUGCUGAAGCUUUUAGUAUUUACACUUGUCUCCCUCUAAAAGGAUGUGUAAUUGCUUUUAAUGAAAUUAAGGCACUUAAAAUCCAUGAGCUUUACACAGAUCUAAGACAGCCUGUGGAUCAAAGCUUGUCCCAAUAGCAGUCAUGAGAAUCUGAAUGUGAUGUGUGACAUCUAGAACCAGGCACUGCUAAACCAGCUCAGUUUCUCAGCAUUGACAGCAUGUUGACG